This 947-nucleotide long non-coding RNA is filed under the name Prunus dulcis (almond). RNAcentral describes it as "sRNA ncRNA". Lineage: Eukaryota; Viridiplantae; Streptophyta; Magnoliopsida; Rosales; Rosaceae. The record is from RNAcentral.
CCCAUUUUUCUCUCUCUUCUUCCCCAGCUUUCUUUUCUGGUGUUGUGGUUUCCUCUGCAAUCUGCUCUGCACCUCUUUCUCGUUCUCUCUUAUCCUACGAUUCGAGACCGUGCAUAAGCUGAAAAAGGAGAAAGUAGAACUUUACGUUGAUCUAGAGGAGCUGUACGUUAUUGGAGGUAAUCCGACCUUUCCCUCAUUCGUUUUCACUUAGGGCAGAAAAUCUCAAGCAUACAACUUCUGGGUAGUUCCCUAGAGCCUUUGGUCUGCAUAAAGCAACGAAUAUCAAAAUAAUAUACCGCUUCUUUAAUCUAACCAGGUUCAGGGGAAAAAAGUUUAAACUUGAAGCUUCUGAGCCGUCAUCCAAAGAGGUCAGUUGGAGAGAUUCUUUAUGGGUUCGAUUUGCUUCGUUGCGAGUUUAGAUGGGCUUGGUGCAAUUUUUGUGUGUAGCUUUUGUAUCAAUUUCAAUGCCUUGUUUGUUAAGUAGCUUUCUGUCAUUUUCAGGGUAGGCAAGGGCCAAAUGGCAAAGUCUUGCAAGGGCUUGGCAAUGGAGUUGGUCAAGUGUCUUAGUGAGUGCGAUUGCGUUAAGGUUGAGAAGCGAUCGUACAGAGAAUGCGCUGGGGAGAAGAGUCCAUCAAUAUCAAGCGAAUGCAUUGGUCUGAGGGAAACAUAUUUCAAUUGCAAGAGAGGCCAGGUUGACAUGAGAGCUAGGAUUCGGGGGAACAAAGGCUAUUGAGGAGCAGUGGUAAUGUUUACCAAAUCGUGAAACAAAGUUUUGUACUUGAAUUGAAGAUUGUGAAAUAAAUUUUUUAGUUCAAUUGUAGCCGUAUUUUUUGUACUUACGACCGAUACCUUUUCCUCAAUAUUAAUAGUUUCUUUGUAGUAACCUGAAAAAUCUUGUUGAAUAUGAAGACAACUAAUUAAUAAAGGCCAAGAAUUGUACUAGAUGG